AGCUCAGUGGUAGAGCAUUCCGCACCAAGAUUUUGAAGGUUCGAAUCCUUCC
This 52-nucleotide transfer RNA is filed under the name Myxococcota bacterium. RNAcentral's name for it is "tRNA-Val". Lineage: Bacteria; Pseudomonadati; Myxococcota. The record is from RNAcentral.